CGCCGCUUCCGGGCGGUUUUCGAUCAUCCCCCGGAGGGCAGGGCGGCGGGUGAGCUACUAUUCCGUUUGAGACAGGAGACGAGGACCGCUCAGGAUUUCGCGUUGGAUUUCGCUCCACAGCCCAUGGAGAUAGGGGGGCUGCAUCGAGGAGGACCAGAGGGGGGGGUCUCUCCUGCACCCGAUGUGGGCGCAGAGGACACACUGUGGACCGAUGCUGGAGAGGUCCCUCCGGGAGUUUGGAGGGCAGGCAGAGCACUACUUCGACCCCCCAGACGAUCGUUACAGAACUACCCACCACAACUGGAUCAAGCAGCGUGCUUGGGAGGAGAUGGACACCUGGUCUCAUGAGGAGUGGAUUGGGAGGAGAGACUGGACUUGGGGCCAGGUGAUCGACAGAUAUCGGAGCCUACCCGGGAAGAACGAGAGGCAGCCCCCCCCAAAAAAUUGGGGGGGCACACGGGUAGUUUAGCUGGACCAAGGGUGAGGCCUGAGUCAACUACCUGUGCUUUUUGUGGUAAGCAUGUGCCUGCCUCUCGCACUCUCUCUCCAGUGCGCCUGCCCAGCCCAGUACGUCCUGUUCCUGCUCCUCGCACUAGCCUUGUAGUGUGCACUCCCCGUCCUGAGCCUCCGGCGACAGUUCCCCGUCCAGGGCUUCCGGCGACAGUUCCCCGUCCAGAGCUUCCGGCGACAGUUCCCCGUCCAGAGCUUCUGGCGACAGUUCCCCGUCCAGAGCUUCCGGCGACGUUUUACAGUCCGGAGCCUGCAGAGACGGC
This 773-nucleotide long non-coding RNA is filed under the name Salmo salar (Atlantic salmon). Its description in RNAcentral is "lncRNA (ENSSSAG00000107813.1)". Lineage: Eukaryota; Metazoa; Chordata; Actinopteri; Salmoniformes; Salmonidae. The record is from RNAcentral.